CUUGAGUACAAAAGCGCAAAGAGGUUUCUUUGUGGUAUAGAACAAGGAUGGGCAGGUGGGCAGAGCAAGGGUGUUUCUGUCUGAGCCUAAGAAAGAGAACGGGUGCCACAGAAUGGGCACCAAGGUACCACCACAUGACGCCCUGCGAGAAACCACAUCUGCUAUGCUGGAUAUAGCCAUCUUUUGAUCUGCUGAUUGUAUGGGAAAAUUGGAAGGUAUUUUUAUAUGCUAGAAAACUAGAAAAAGGUUUAGGGAAAUAAAAUUAUGCCCAGUCUCUCUCCUCCCUUUCCCCUAACCCCACCACUUCUUUGUCUUCUCUGCUCAUAGGCACUCUCUCCCCUGGGUGCUUUGCCAGCCUGGGUCCAUGGGGAGAGAGCGCCUUCUCCUAUGCUAGCCUGGGUGAGUUGUGGGUCGACAGGCCAGGACGUACAGAUUUCCGAGAGGAUUACAAAGGGAUGCCAACAGACAGAUCAGCGACCUCAAAUUUAAACUUGCAAAAUCUGAGCAAGAGAUAACUGCAUUAGAACAAAAUCUUCGCUCUGCACUGGACAAAACAGAAGAGCUUGAAGUAAGCAACGGCCACUUAGUGAAGCGUCUGGAAAAAAUGAAAGCAAACCGGAGUGCGCUUAUGUCCCAGCAGUGAACACCAGCUCUGAGCGGGAACCCGACUGGUGAAUGGGGAGCAUUGUUUCCUAGGCUUUUCUCUGUUCCUGUUCUGGAAGCUGCUGCUUCCCCUGCUUCUGCAAGAACAUCCCAGUGAGCACUCGGCUCCCUCGUGCUCCCGAGCUGGCUCAACCAUGGGAGCCCCAGCAGCCACCAGAUGCCUCUGUCUGCAGACCCCGACCCCAGGCUGGGGCCAUCUCUCCAAACCUGCAGGUGAUUUAAUAAGCACACUGGGCCCAUGGGAGCCCUGUCUCCAAUGGCACAGCAGCCUCUUAAUGCCAUUUAAAAUGGUGAUCAAAGUAAAGAUUAAAGUGGGACUUGAGUUUUCUUUUCAUGUGUCUUGCUGAAAAUUAAGGGGAAAUGUUACAGCGUUGGGACUUCCUUUCCUGGCAGAAUCUACAAUUUGAGCGACUUCAGUAGUAUCUCUUAGUCCAUGCUUUUCACACACAAAACACUGUGGAACCACAAGCCAUUACCAAGCAAAACUCUCUCACUAGAAACAAGAGGAUGGUCUGGAAGUAAAAGUGACCUUAAGAAGACUCUUUCCAGGCAACAAAUGAAGCUUUUCUAAGGGAUUUUUGCAUCAGUUCAAUCAUAAGAAUACUUUUUUUCCAGGAUAAUUAGGCAACAGCUUCACUGAAAAUGACAGCUUUUCAUUUGCAUUAUUUAAUCCUUAUAUUUGGAAUUGAAGUUGUUAACUUCUUUUAAAGAAUGUACUAUUAGAAAAAUUAAAAAAAUGAAAUGUUAAAAG
RNAcentral lists this long non-coding RNA (1414 nucleotides) under Equus caballus (horse). Its description in RNAcentral is "lncRNA (ENSECAG00000049235.1)". Lineage: Eukaryota; Metazoa; Chordata; Mammalia; Perissodactyla; Equidae. The record is from RNAcentral.